ACUACCCGGGUAUCUAAUCCUGUUUGCUCCCCACGCUUUCGUGCGCAGGCGUCAGUGUUAUCCCAGGAGGCUGCCUUCGCCAUCGGUGUUCCUCCGCACAUGUCUACGCAUUUCCUUGCUACCUGUAGGAAUUCCACCUCCUCUGACACACCCUAGCUCGGUAGUUAAAUGCAGUUCCAAAGUUAAGCUCUAUGGGAUUCACAUCUUUCUUUCCAGACCGCCUGCGCGCUUCCGCCCAGUAAUUCCGAUUAACGCUUACCUACAUGUGCUAUGGCCUUUGCUGGCACAUCAGUUCGGUGCUUAUUCUGCAGUGCCGUCAGUUGCACAAGGUGUAUCCGAUACCCUGUUUCUUCCUGCCAAAGUGCUUUACAACCCGAAGGCCUUCAUCGCACACGCGGGAUGGCUGGAUCAGGGUUUCCCCCAUUGUCAAAAUUUACUGCUGCCCCGUAUA
RNAcentral lists this unclassified non-coding RNA (451 nucleotides) under uncultured Bordetella sp. Its description in RNAcentral is "partial 16S-23S ribosomal RNA intergenic spacer". The record is from RNAcentral. Lineage: Bacteria; Pseudomonadati; Pseudomonadota; Betaproteobacteria; Burkholderiales; Alcaligenaceae.